GACGAACGCUGGCGGCGUGCCUAAUACAUGCAAGUAGAACGCACAGUUUAUACCGUAGCUUGCUACACCAUAGACUGUGAGUUGCGAACGGGUGAGUAACGCGUAGGUAACCUGCCUGGUAGCGGGGGAUAACUAUUGGAAACGAUAGCUAAUACCGCAUAAUAUUGAUUAUUGCAUGAUAAUUGAUUGAAAGAUGCUAUUGCAUCACUACCAGAUGGACCUGCGUUGUAUUAGCUAGUAGGUGAGGUAACGGCUCACCUAGGCGACGAUACAUAGCCGACCUGAGAGGAUGAUCGGCCACACUGGGACUGAGACACGGCCCAGACUCCUACGGGAGGCAGCAGUAGGGAAUCUUCGGCAAUGGACGAAAGUCUGACCGAGCAACGCCGCGUGAGUGAAGAAGGUUUUCGGAUCGUAAAGCUCUGUUGUAAGAGAAGAACGGGUGUGAGAGUGGAAAGUUCACACUGUGACGGUAUCUUACCAGAAAGGGACGGCUAACUACGUG
RNAcentral lists this ribosomal RNA (505 nucleotides) under uncultured bacterium. RNAcentral's name for it is "partial 16S ribosomal RNA". It matches the Rfam family "Bacterial small subunit ribosomal RNA", at positions 28 to 507 of the family's 1533-position model. The record is from RNAcentral.